Ostrea edulis (European flat oyster) is the source of this 266-nucleotide small nucleolar RNA. The record is from RefSeq and is a predicted model, not a curated record. Lineage: Eukaryota; Metazoa; Mollusca; Bivalvia; Ostreida; Ostreidae.
GUCAUGUGAUGAUAAGAAGCUUCCUGAAACACUGUUUCUAAAUUCUAACCAGAGUUCAUUGUUUUGAAUCUUGGAUGCUGCACUGAGCGCGUGCAGUGUUUGUAAGGCGAAACAUAGAUUGAAUAGCCAACUGCAGGUAAACCUGUCCUAGAGUUCAGGGAACAGAGGUUGUAUGUUGGCUUACAGGGUUAAGUUUCUUGUUCAUUUUUUUUUUUUUUUUUUGAAUAUGAAACAGUGUAUGAAGAUUCUUUAGUAAUCUGAUGACA